Molecule: long non-coding RNA, 887 nt
Organism: Populus nigra (black poplar)
Lineage: Eukaryota; Viridiplantae; Streptophyta; Magnoliopsida; Malpighiales; Salicaceae
Exons: 4
Source: RefSeq, a predicted model, not a curated record
CCAUUCCUAAAGCUGCUAAAUUAACCUUAAUUUUCUCCCUGUACACAUAGCCAACAAUACAUUAAUGUUCGAUCUUAAUGCUGAUAUAUUACAAGCUAGAUCAGCUGAUCUGUUGUAGAUAGAAAGAGGGUUUUGUUUCUUCUUCAGUAUUCACCAAUCACCAUGUCUUCUUCUUCUAGGGUGCAAAAUAUCCUGUUAACGUUUUGGCUGUGUUGUCCAUUUGUGGAUAUCUUCAAGGUGCAAAUGCUGCAAGCUCCACAGUGAAUGUUGGGAAUAUAUAUAUAAAGUUAUUAUGAAUGUUGUUGAUGGCAAGAGCUAUCUUUUGAAACACUAUAAGAUAAAAAAAAAUUAAUUGAGUGCAAAUGACAGCGAGCAGAGUGGAUAAAGUUCUUGGGAGUUUCUGUAAAUCUUGAGACGAGAGCCAACAAAGUCUAUGAUGCAAUCAAAGAGAAUUACUUCAAAUCAAUAGUAGCUUGGAUUCAGUAUGAUAAUGUUAGUUUAGCAUAAGACAUGAACAUGCAUAUGCUCGUGUUCCUUCAAUUCAAUGUUCUAGGGUAUCUUUGGUUAUGUUAGGCUCAACAAUUUUCAGAGCGUAUGGUCUCUUGCAAAGGAAACAUACAAGUUGACGGUAACAGAAGACAAAUUUAAACACUUAUGUGGAAGAUGCAGGUGGAGAAAAUACUGACAACUCUAUGAAUAAGAUCACCUGCAACACCUCAAACCCUGAUGGUUUGGAAGAAUUGCAUGCAAUUCUAUGUGAGAAGGGAUUGUAAGCAUUGAUGCCAAUAUGCGUAACAGAGAUAUCUCCACUUCCUUGGAACCCACAAUACUUGCUUGCUAAUGACCACAACAGCACACAUCAAGUCCUUUAUUCUAUUUGUAUCAGC